This is a non-coding RNA of Chelonoidis abingdonii (Abingdon island giant tortoise), 992 nucleotides long. Lineage: Eukaryota; Metazoa; Chordata; Testudines; Testudinidae. The record is from RefSeq and is a predicted model, not a curated record.
GCAGACUGGCUUGCUGGAGAUAUCGCAGUAGAUGGCAGAGGACUGUGCAGCCUCACACCCCUCUUCAGAAAGGAGUAGAACAAGGAUCCCUAGCGAAAGAGAGGUGAUGGCUGGAAACCUGAAAGCGGGAACUCAUGGAAUAGACUAUGAACGGGGGAAUACAGGAUUCAUUUGUGAUGUUCUGAUGUGCUGUUGAAAGGAAAAGAACGGAGUCUGUUACACACUGACACUUCAAAACGCUCCUGCUAAUGUAUUUUCAAACUCAUUGAAUUAUCAUAGAAAUUCAUCAUGGGAGGAGCUGUGAGUGCUGGGGAAGACAAUGAUGAUUUAAUUGAUAACUUGAAAGAAGCUCAGUAUAUUCGCACUGAGAGAGUGGAGCAAGCCUUCAGAGCAAUUGACCGUGGUGAUUAUUAUCUAGAAGGAUACAGGGACAAUGCUUAUAAAGACUUGGCUUGGAAGCAUGGAAAUAUACACUUAUCAGCACCUUGCAUUUAUUCUGAAGUCAUGGAGGCAUUGAAACUUCAACCAGGAUUAUCUUUUCUGAAUCUGGGUAGCGGAACCGGAUAUUUGAGUACAAUGGUGGGAUUAAUAUUAGGCCCUUUUGGAAUAAAUCAUGGAAUAGAGCUUCAUUCAGAUGUGGUAGAAUAUGCCAAGGAAAAAUUGGAGAGCUUCAUAAAAAAUAAUGAUAGCUUUGAUAAUCGGCUUCUAGACCUAGAAUAUCCGUCUCGGAGGGAGAGCCACAGGGCAGGGCUAGGUCGCCCAUCUCCUAACACCCUAUCAAAAACCAAACGUGUGUAAGCUGCUGAAGUGAGUGCCGUGAAAGAAAUAUCAACACUCUUCUCAGGAUCAAAAGAAUUUAUCGCUACUCUUCUAAAGAAACAACUGCAAUGGAAUACAUCCAACCAGAAUUGGCAACCCUUAGGAGUCAUCAAAGCAGAAAAUAGUCUUCAUCCAGCUGCAGUCGAAUGAUUAUCCUGCUAUAAAGACAAAAG